GACGAACGCUGGCGGCGUGCUUAACACAUGCAAGUCGAACGGAAAGGCUCCAGCUUGCUGGAGUACUCGAGUGGCGAACGGGUGAGUAACACGUGGGUAAUCUGCCCUGCACUCUGGGAUAAGCCUGGGAAACUGGGUCUAAUACUGGAUAUGACCUUUCUCCUCAUGGGGUUUGGUGGAAAGUUUUUCGGUGUAGGAUGAGCCCGCGGCCUAUCAGCUUGUUGGUGGGGUGAUGGCCUACCAAGGCGACGACGGGUAGCCGGCCUGAGAGGGUGAUCGGCCACAUUGGGACUGAGAUACGGCCCAGACUCCUACGGGAGGCAGCAGUGGGGAAUAUUGCACAAUGGGCGGAAGCCUGAUGCAGCGACGCCGCGUGAGGGAUGACGGCCUUCGGGUUGUAAACCUCUUUCAGCAGGGACGAAGCGUGAGUGACGGUACCUGCAGAAGAAGCACCGGCUAACUAUGUG
RNAcentral lists this ribosomal RNA (467 nucleotides) under uncultured bacterium. RNAcentral describes it as "partial 16S ribosomal RNA". It matches the Rfam family "Bacterial small subunit ribosomal RNA", at positions 28 to 507 of the family's 1533-position model. The record is from RNAcentral.